RNAcentral lists this ribosomal RNA (466 nucleotides) under uncultured bacterium. RNAcentral's name for it is "partial 16S ribosomal RNA". It matches the Rfam family "Bacterial small subunit ribosomal RNA", at positions 28 to 507 of the family's 1533-position model. The record is from RNAcentral.
GACGAACGCUGGCGGCGUGCUUAACACAUGCAAGUCGAACGGAAAGGCCCUGCUUGCAGGGUACUCGAGUGGCGAACGGGUGAGUAACACGUGGGUGAUCUGCCCUGCACUUCGGGAUAAGCCUGGGAAACUGGGUCUAAUACCGGAUAGGAGCCAUUUUUAGUGUGAUGGUUGGAAAGUUUUUUUCGGUGUAGGAUGAGCUCGCGGCCUAUCAGCUUGUUGGUGGGGUAAUGGCCUACCAAGGCGGCGACGGGUAGCCGGCCUGAGAGGGUGGACGGCCACAUUGGGACUGAGAUACGGCCCAGACUCCUACGGGAGGCAGCAGUGGGGAAUAUUGCACAAUGGGCGCAAGCCUGAUGCAGCGACGCCGCGUGGGGGAUGGCGGCCUUCGGGUUGUAAACUCCUUUCGCUAGGGACGAAGCUUUUUGUGACGGUACCUAGAUAAGAAGCACCGGCUAACUACGUG